AAGGGCACCACAAGAACGCGUGGAGCAUGUGGCUUAAUUUGACUCAACGCGGGAAAUCUUACCGGGUCCGGACACACUGAGGAUUGACAGGCAAUAUUAUAAUUUUUUAAUUGAAAUAAAUUUUUAUUAAUUUAUUUUUUUUAUUUUUUAUAUGUUAAAUAUGCUAGUCCUUUCAUGAUUAUGUGAUAGGUGGUGCAUGGCCGUUCUUAGUUCGUGGAGUGAUCUGUCUGCUUAAUUGCGUUUCACUAUUGGGCUUAUAUAAUUACGUAUGUUGUUAACGCUUUGACCCCUUUCUACGGAUUGUGCGUGUCUUUGUCUCGUUUAACUCAUACAAUUAAGCCCUGGAAGCAACGAACGUGACCGCAACCUCUUGUUGCUCUCAUAUUACCUUAUACUGCAUAAUAUUUGAAUAAUUUAUUUUAUUUUUUUUUAUGUUUAAGAGAGCUUUCUAAACUAGAGGGACCGCUGUUACUUUCUUAAACCAGAGGAAGGUUGCGGCAAUAACAGGUCUGUGAUGCCCUUAGAUGUUCCGGGCUGCACACGUGCUACAAUGAUUAUUGCAGUGAGCAUCUCAUUUUUUACACAUCGCAUGCGCGAGUCCAUUUAUUCAGAUAUCUUUCAUUUACUUUCGGGUGAAUGUAGUGUUUGCUUUAAAUGUGUAUCUCUGCGCGCGAUAAAGCCUGCUUCGAAAGUAAGUGGGUAAUCAAUUAGAAGUAAUGAUUUCCUUUUUUUUUCUGCACACAUAUAUAUGGCACUUAUACCCGGGUAACCUUGUUGUUACUUUUGUGCGUAUACGUGAUAAUCUUUACCGAUUAUACUACCAUAUGUGCAAUUGUCAAUUCAUGGUGGGGACAGACCAUUGUUAAUUGUUGGUCUCGGUCUUAACUAGGAAUGCCUUGUACGGAUCUUUGGUUCAACAAACCAUCCGGAAUACGUCCCUGCCCUUUGUACACACCGCCCGUC
This 963-nucleotide ribosomal RNA is filed under the name Cassidulinoides sp. RNAcentral's name for it is "partial small subunit ribosomal RNA". It matches the Rfam family "Eukaryotic small subunit ribosomal RNA", at positions 1160 to 1677 of the family's 1831-position model. The record is from RNAcentral. Lineage: Eukaryota; Foraminifera; Rotaliida; Cassidulinidae.